GGGGGCGACAUGGCUUCGACGGCGGUGACGACAUCGCGAGGUGCAUGCCGAGAGGGUAGUGACUCUCGUUAAUCAAUCGCUGCAACUUCUUAUAGUUGCCAACGACGAAAACUACGCACUAGCGGCUUAAACACCGCUUACCUCGAUGACUCGGUGUCCGUGACGACGAGUCGAGGGCAAAAGCUCACGGAAUAGCGAGCAGCCGACGCGUCCAACGAUGCGUUGCCUCGGAAGCUGACGCGAAACACAACGAGGCUCGCCCAUCCGCGCCCUGACCGUCGGGCCGCUCAUGGGCUAAAGCAAUAGACGAAGCUAAGCAUGUAGAGCUUCCGAUGCCGUGCCGGCGGACGCGGGUUCGAUUCCCGCCGCCUCCACCA
Molecule: transfer-messenger RNA, 377 nt
Filed under: Gammaproteobacteria bacterium
Lineage: Bacteria; Pseudomonadati; Pseudomonadota; Gammaproteobacteria
Rfam family: transfer-messenger RNA
About the family: Bacterial tmRNA, also known as 10Sa RNA or SsrA, is named for its dual tRNA and mRNA-like properties. Its role is to liberate the mRNA from a stalled ribosome.
Source: RNAcentral